RNAcentral lists this ribosomal RNA (251 nucleotides) under uncultured prokaryote. RNAcentral's name for it is "partial 16S ribosomal RNA". It matches the Rfam family "Bacterial small subunit ribosomal RNA", at positions 524 to 774 of the family's 1533-position model. The record is from RNAcentral.
UACGGAGGAUGCAAGCGUUAUCCGGAUUUAUUGGGUUUAAAGGGUGCGCAGGUUGUUUGAUAAGUCAGUGGUGAAAGUCUGUCGCUUAACGGUAGGAUUGCCAUUGAUACUGUUGGACUUGAAUAUGGAUGAGGUAGGCGGAAUGUGUAGUGUAGCGGUGAAAUGCAUAGAUAUUACACAGAACACCGAUUGCGAAGGCAGCUUACUAAUCCAUCAUUGACGCUGAGGUGCGAAAGCGUGGGGAGCAAACA